RNAcentral lists this transfer RNA (108 nucleotides) under Candidatus Omnitrophota bacterium. RNAcentral describes it as "tRNA-Leu". It matches the Rfam family "tRNA". From Rfam's summary of the family: Transfer RNA (tRNA) molecules are approximately 80 nucleotides in length. Their secondary structure includes four short double-helical elements and three loops (D, anti-codon, and T loops). Lineage: Bacteria; Pseudomonadati; Candidatus Omnitrophota. The record is from RNAcentral.
GCGGGGGUGGCGGAAUGGCAGACGCGCUGGUCUCAGAAGCCAGUGGGGGCGACCCUAUGAGAGUUAGGUUUAAUUUAGAGAAACGGGAAACUCCCUCCUCCCGCACCA